CUAUGAUCUACAGUGCCCAUUCCAACUCAGAGAAUCUUUACAUCUGGAGAUCUAUAGCAGGGCUAUCCCUAGUGACAUGCGUGAAGAAGCUUGGAAAUGGUGCUGGGUAGGAGCUGAGUGUGCAGAAUGUGGAAAGGCAUUCUAAACCAAAGGAAGAACACGAGUAAAGAUGAUGAAGCAGGGAUAAGGCUAAAAUGAAAUUUGUGAUCUGAUCCACAUACAAGCACAGUGUAGUACAGCUGGAAUAUAGAGAAGAGCUUGAAGACUUAUGAGCAACUAUCCCGGUACUCUUGGAGGCUCUGCAACCACAGUUUGAGAAACUCCGCGUUCAAAGUUAAAAACUGUCACCUGAAUAGUUAAUAACAUCAAAGAUUGUGAAAGCAAGUAUAAAUAACACAGAGAUUAAAAUAAUGAGGCAGGAUCAGAAACACUGACCUGCUGUGUAAGAAGUCCAACUGCCCUGAGGCCACCAGGCUGGAGAGACCAUGUAUGGAUAGGUUCUCUGAUCAACAGUUUCUAUCAAGCCCAGCCUUCUAGCCAUCAAGCCCAGCCUUCUAGCCAUGUCCACCAAUGUGCCUGACAUGUGAGUGAAGCCAUCACAGACCCUUCAGACCAGCCCACCUGCCAGCUGAAUACUUGGGUUAUGGUGGCCAUCCAGACAUAAAGAAAUUAGAACGUUCAUUCAUCUGCAGAUGCUCACACAUUCCUACAGGAUGACUGAAACCCACAGCAAACAA
This 737-nucleotide long non-coding RNA is filed under the name Homo sapiens (human). Its description in RNAcentral is "long intergenic non-protein coding RNA 2028". Lineage: Eukaryota; Metazoa; Chordata; Mammalia; Primates; Hominidae. The record is from RNAcentral.